RNAcentral lists this ribosomal RNA (254 nucleotides) under uncultured bacterium. Its description in RNAcentral is "partial 16S ribosomal RNA". It matches the Rfam family "Bacterial small subunit ribosomal RNA", at positions 524 to 776 of the family's 1533-position model. The record is from RNAcentral.
UACGGGGGGGGGUAAGCGUUGUUCGGAAUUACUGGGCGUAAAGGGCUCGUAGGCGGCCAACUAAGUCAGACGUGAAAUCCCUCAGCUUAACUGGGGAACUGCGUCUGAUACUGGAUGGCUUGGAUUUGGGAGAGGAAUGCGGAAUUCCAGGUGUAGCGGUGAAAUGCGUAGAUAUCUGGAGGAACACCGGUGGCGAAGGCGGCAUUCUGGACCAAUAUUGACGCUGAGGAGCGAAAGCCAGGGGAGCAAACGGG